AAUAGAUACCCGGGUAGUCCACGCCGUAAACGAUGAGUGCUAAGUGUUAGGGGGUUUCCGCCCCUUAGUGCUGCAGCUAACGCAUUAAGCACUCCGCCUGGGGAGUACGGUCGCAAGACUGAAACUCAAAGGAAUUGACGGGGGCCCGCACAAGCGGUGGAGCAUGUGGUUUAAUUCGAAGCAACGCGAAGAACCUUACCAGGUCUUGACAUCCCGUUGACCGCUCUAGAGAUAGAGUUUUCCCUUCGGGGACAACGGUGACAGGUGGUGCAUGGUUGUCGUCAGCUCGUGUCGUGAGAUGUUGGGUUAAGUCCCGCAACGAGCGCAACCCUUGUUCUUAGUUGCCAUCAUUCAGUUGGGCACUCUAAGGAGACUGCCGCAGACAAUGCGGAGGAAGGUGGGGAUGACGUCAAAUCAUCAUGCCCCUUAUGACCUGGGCUACACACGUGCUACAAUGGACGGUACAAACGGUUGCCAAGUCGCGAGACGGAGCCAAUCCGAGAAAACCGUUCUCAGUUCGGAUUGCAGGCUGC
Molecule: ribosomal RNA, 533 nt
Filed under: uncultured bacterium
Lineage: Bacteria
Description: bacterial SSU rRNA
Rfam family: Bacterial small subunit ribosomal RNA
Source: RNAcentral